AACGUAGGUUCCGAGCGUUAUCCGGAUUUACUGGGCGUAAAGCGCGUUCAGGCGGUUUGGCAAGUCGGGCAUGAAAUCUCUCGGCUCAACCGGGAGAGGUUGUCCGAUACUGCUGGACUUGAGGGCAGUAGAGGGUGGUGGAAUUCCGGGUGUAGUGGUGAAAUUCGUAGAUAUCAGGAGGAACACCAAUUGCGAAGGCAGCUCGCUGGGACGUUACUGACGCUGAGACGCGAAAGCGUGGGGAGCAAACAGG
Molecule: ribosomal RNA, 253 nt
Filed under: uncultured bacterium
Lineage: Bacteria
Description: partial 16S ribosomal RNA
Rfam family: Bacterial small subunit ribosomal RNA
Source: RNAcentral